UGCAAGUCGAGCGGACAGAUGGGAGCUUGCUCCCUGAUGUUAGCGGCGGACGGGUGAGUAACACGUGGGUAACCUGCCUGUAAGACUGGGAUAACUCCGGGAAACCGGGGCUAAUACCGGAUGCUUGUUUGAACCGCAUGGUUCAAACAUAAAAGGUGGCUUCGGCUACCACUUACAGAUGGACCCGCGGCGCAUUAGCUAGUUGGUGAGGUAAUGGCUCACCAAGGCAACGAUGCGUAGCCGACCUGAGAGGGUGAUCGGCCACACUGGGACUGAGACACGGCCCAGACUCCUACGGGAGGCAGCAGUAGGGAAUCUUCCGCAAUGGACGAAAGUCUGACGGAGCAACGCCGCGUGAGUGAUGAAGGUUUUCGGAUCGUAAAGCUCUGUUGUUAGGGAAGAACAAGUACCGUUCGAAUAGGGCGGUACCUUGACGGUACCUAACCAGAAAGCCACGGCUAACUACGUGCCAGCAG
This 476-nucleotide ribosomal RNA is filed under the name Bacillus halotolerans. Its description in RNAcentral is "bacterial SSU rRNA". It matches the Rfam family "Bacterial small subunit ribosomal RNA", at positions 56 to 514 of the family's 1533-position model. The record is from RNAcentral. Lineage: Bacteria; Bacillati; Bacillota; Bacilli; Caryophanales; Bacillaceae.